RNAcentral lists this unclassified non-coding RNA (335 nucleotides) under soil metagenome. RNAcentral describes it as "partial contains 5.8S ribosomal RNA, internal transcribed spacer 2, and large subunit ribosomal RNA". The stretch from base 1 to 120 matches the Rfam family "5.8S ribosomal RNA", at positions 35 to 154 of the family's 154-position model. The record is from RNAcentral.
GAUGAAGAACGCAGCGAAAUGCGAUAAGUAAUGUGAAUUGCAGAAUUCAGUGAAUCAUCGAAUCUUUGAACGCACAUUGCGCCCGCCAGUAUUCUGGCGGGCAUGCCUGUUCGAGCGUCAUUUCAACCAUCAAGCCCCGGGCUUGUGUUGGGGACCUGCGGCUGCCGCAGACCCUGAAAAGCAGUGGCGGGCUCGCUGUCACACCGAGCGUAGUAGCAUACAUCUCGCUCUGGGCGUGCUGCGGGUUCCGGCCGUUAAACCACCUUUUAACCCAAGGUUGACCUCGGAUCAGGUAGGAAGACCCGCUGAACUUAAGCAUAUCAAUAAGCGGAGGA